UACGAAGGGGGCUAGCGUUGUUCGGAAUCACUGGGCGUAAAGGGCGCGUAGGCGGCGCGACAAGUCAGGCGUGAAAGCCCCGGGCUCAACCCGGGAAUUGCGCUUGAUACUGUCGUGCUUGAGGCCGGGAGAGGAUGGCGGAAUUCCCAGUGUAGAGGUGAAAUUCGUAGAUAUUGGGAAGAACACCGAUGGCGAAGGCAGCCAUCUGGACCGGCACUGACGCUGAGGCGCGAAAGCGUGGGGAGCAAACAGG
RNAcentral lists this ribosomal RNA (253 nucleotides) under uncultured bacterium. Its description in RNAcentral is "partial 16S ribosomal RNA". It matches the Rfam family "Bacterial small subunit ribosomal RNA", at positions 524 to 776 of the family's 1533-position model. The record is from RNAcentral.